GUUGUUAGUAAAUAAAAAUUAUGAAAGCAAAAAAUUAUGGCGGUAUUUUAAGCUUUUCAGAGGAAUUUGCUCUUUAAUGGAUAAAACACCUAAAUCUUACUUGAAUUUGUUAAAUCAAUUUGUAUACCACUAUAAAAACAAUUAAUAACUUUAAUUGUUAAAAUUUAUUGAAUUAAAUUAUGUUAAGUCAAGGUGCAGUAAAAAUUUAAGAAUGAAGUGAAUUACAUUUCUUUUCAGAAAUAAAAAAUUAAAUUUACAUAUAGGAUUUGAAAGUAAAAUUAAAAUAGAAUGUUAAUUUGAAUAAAGCUCUAAAAUAUGCAC
RNAcentral lists this ribosomal RNA (321 nucleotides) under Rhipicephalus distinctus. RNAcentral describes it as "partial small subunit ribosomal RNA". Lineage: Eukaryota; Metazoa; Arthropoda; Arachnida; Ixodida; Ixodidae. The record is from RNAcentral.